This 497-nucleotide ribosomal RNA is filed under the name uncultured bacterium. RNAcentral describes it as "partial 16S ribosomal RNA". It matches the Rfam family "Bacterial small subunit ribosomal RNA", at positions 28 to 507 of the family's 1533-position model. The record is from RNAcentral.
GACGAACGCUGGCGGCGUGCCUAAUACAUGCAAGUUGAGCGCUGAAGGUUGGUACUUGUACCAACUGGAUGAGCAGCGAACGGGUGAGUAACGCGUGGGGAAUCUGCCUUUGAGCGGGGGACAACAUUUGGAAACGAAUGCUAAUACCGCAUAAAAACUUUAAACACAAGUUUUAAGUUUGAAAGAUGCAAUUGCAUCACUCAAAGAUGAUCCCGCGUUGUAUUAGCUAGUUGGUGAGGUAAAGGCUCACCAAGGCGAUGAUACAUAGCCGACCUGAGAGGGUGAUCGGCAACAUUGGGACUGAGACACGGCCCAAACUCCUACGGGAUGCAGAAGGAGGGAAUCUUCGGAAAUGGAAGAAAGUCUGACCGAGCAACACCGCGUGAGUGAAGAAGGUUUUAGGAUCGUAAAACUCUGUUGGUAGAGAAGAACGUUGGUGAGAGUGGAAAGCGCAUCAAGUGACGGUAACUACCCAGAAAGGGACGGCUAACUACGUG